ACAGGCAAAGGGUGAGUCCCUCCCUUCUGCCUGACACUAAAGCCAGGGCCUCAGCGUUCUUGCUUUCCUGCACAUUCAUGCUCCCUGGCUGGCUCGGUUUCCCUCAGGCACACUCCCUCUGAGCUGUAUCUCAUCUCGGGUCUGAGUGGCCUCUUUCCUUUCACCCUAGGCUUUGGACAACAGGUCUGUGCUUUGCUAGCUCUGGCCUCGCUCAUUUUGUUGACGUGAUUGUGGCUGAGUAGACACAGACAUCUCCAAGGAGCUGCCAUGAUCUGUGAAUUGUGACAAGAGCAGAUUCUAAAUUAGGUCAUUAGAGAUGCGGUCUUCAUCAUGUAGGACAGGGCGAUCUCAGGUGCAGUCUCACACAAAGAGAAUGAAUUCAAUAUUUCAUCAGCUUUCUGAGGCACACGAAUCAGAUGCCUCUCGACACCAGCGCCAUGCAGGGUUUCUGUGGAGAAUGUGUUCACAGGCUUCCUCUGGUCUUUGCCAUCCGUGAUGUCAGAGGUUUCCUCUCCUAGUCUCGAAGGACCAUCGUGGCAGGGCCGCUGGUACAUGCAUCACUGUCCAGGAGGUAUGAAACUGAAGGUAUGCAUAGUGGCAAAAACCUGUGAUCCUAACACUUGGGAGCCCGAGGCUGAUAGCUGCAUUUGGACUGCCAUUGGAAGGAGCAUCUUUCUUGUGGGGUCUACGAGUGAUCACUUCAGCUCCAGGUACAGAGAUGUAAGCCAUCCACCUACAUACAGCUCCAGCGUGAGAAAAACAACCCUGAAAGCUGGAUAAAAAACAAGGAGUGUUCAGUAUAACCAUCAUCUAGUGAAGAACAUGAAUCAUAGUCUGAUGAACUCCCAGCAAGAUGUUCACGUGACAAGCCACCCAACAUAUGAAAGAUUUCUUUAAAUUAAAGUUUUUGAAAUGUA
This is a long non-coding RNA of Mastomys coucha (southern multimammate mouse), 917 nucleotides long. RefSeq lists it as uncharacterized. Lineage: Eukaryota; Metazoa; Chordata; Mammalia; Rodentia; Muridae. The transcript has 5 exons. The record is from RefSeq and is a predicted model, not a curated record.